GAGAGAGGAGGAGGGGCACAAAGUGUGGGAGCCUGAUUAUGUGAAACAGUGUUUCAGAUGUGUGUCUCUGGGAGAUAAUGACUGAGAAGACACUGACCCACAUGAUUGGCAACAUAACACUGAAAUUAAUAUUUCCAAGCAUUCUUCAUAUAGUCUUUCGGUCUCACAACAAAUAUGAGAGUGGUUUCUAUUACUCUUCUCAUUUUACAAAUGUGGAAAUUGAGCUUUCAAGAUAUAACCUGUCCAAAGUCCCACACCUGAUGAUUGGAAGAGCCCCGGCCUGAAGGUCCUUGACGAAUAAGGUCACAUUGGGUAAAUCCUGCUUUUGUUCCUUUAGCAUUUAGCUGUGCUGCAGUUCCUUCUCUGCCCCUCACCUUUUGCAGCCUUUUCCCCUUCUUGUUAAGGACAUUGUGCUAAUGUUGAAAUGUCAUUAUGGGCCUUGAGUUAAUAAAGGGCAUCUUUUCUAGUGUCCAAAACAACAUAUUUCCUGGGUCUUUGAAGGAAGUAAUGAUGACUGGAACCAAAGUCCCAGAAUUUUCCACAAGCCACUACAGAUGUCUGGGAGAGCUGGUUAUUUCCAGUUGAACUUCCUCUUCACAGGCUUGUGAGAGUAUCCCCCAAACAUGUCUUGCCUGCCGUCUAUUUUUGCACCUUUCAUCAGAGAAACUGGAAAGCCUUAUCCAUAGAAUUAUCCACAUCUNGCUUGUGAGAGUAUCCCCCAAACAUGUCUUGCCUGCCGUCUAUUUUUGCACCUUUCAUCAGAGAAACUGGAAAGCCUUAUCCAUAGAAUGUUAUCCACAUCUCAGACACAAGGGGCUUGAGUUUGGGCCUAACUCCAUGAUUUGUUCUGGGCCAACGAAAGUUUUUUAUCCAGGUGUUUGCUUUGACUGCCUUCCAAGGUGGCAUGCAGCAAACCCAAUGUGGGCCACUGGGAAAGGCCUCCAGGAAAGGCAUCUGGUAGCACCUUCUUUUUUUCAGUCACGUGUUUUUCUGCUGUUACCUGCUAGGAGAGCGACAAAAGAGAGACGACUCAGGCAGGCAAGUGUUGUGGAGGCUAGAGCCUGUGUAUGUCGCAAAAAGAGUCACAGAUCCUUCUCGUCUAUAUAUGCGUGCCCCUGUCCAACGUGGCCUCGUAUGUCCUCCCAUUCAGAGGCAGCCUUUAUUUCUUCAUCUCUUCCAUCUGGGCUGGCCUUGUGUCCCAGGAUCUCGCCCCAAGCAGAGGCCCGAAAGCCCGUGUUCUGGGACUCGCCGUCUGGCUGCACAUUGAACCCUGAGAGCACUGUGUGA
RNAcentral lists this long non-coding RNA (1287 nucleotides) under Vulpes vulpes (red fox). RNAcentral's name for it is "lncRNA (ENSVVUG00000007656.1)". Lineage: Eukaryota; Metazoa; Chordata; Mammalia; Carnivora; Canidae. The record is from RNAcentral.